AUGUUCGGAGGAAGGGCGAAGUUCCAUGCGACGGUGGCCGCGGCCGCGCUGGGCCAGCAGCAGCACCAGGCGGCGGAGUACAGGGAGCUCGGGGCCUGCUCAAGGGGAGCCUCGCCCACGGCAGCGAUGGCACCAACCCACCCCGCACACUCAGGUGGGAGUAGGUUGAUACCUCACUGUCUGCUACAACCAAGAGAUUUGAAGAGUUGCAAAAGGUACGGUGACCAAGCAAGAGAGAUAACACAAGACUACAUCAACGCCACCAGAAAUGCUCUUCAACCACCAAAAACGCUCUUCAAGCAGGAGAGAUAA
Molecule: ribosomal RNA, 312 nt
Filed under: Triticum aestivum (bread wheat)
Lineage: Eukaryota; Viridiplantae; Streptophyta; Magnoliopsida; Poales; Poaceae
Description: partial small subunit ribosomal RNA
Source: RNAcentral